CAGUAGCCACGGUAAUACGGAGGGGGCUAGCGUUGUUCGGAAUUACUGGGCGUAAAGCGCACGUAGGCGGCUUUGUAAGUUAGAGGUGAAAGCCUGGAGCUCAACUCCAGAAUUGCCUUUAAGACUGCAUCGCUUGAAUCGCGGAGAGGUGAGUGGAAUUCCGAGUGUAGAGGUGAAAUUCGUAGAUAUUCGGAAGAACACCAGUGGCGAAGGCGGCUCACUGGACGCGUAUUGACGCUGAGGUGCGAAAGCGUGGGGAGCAAACAGGAUUAGAUACCCGCGUAGUCCCUGUCUCUUAUAC
This 301-nucleotide ribosomal RNA is filed under the name uncultured bacterium. Its description in RNAcentral is "partial 16S ribosomal RNA". It matches the Rfam family "Bacterial small subunit ribosomal RNA", at positions 509 to 807 of the family's 1533-position model. The record is from RNAcentral.